UACGAAGGGGGCUAGCGUUGCUCGGAAUUACUGGGCGUAAAGCGCACGUAGGCGGACUGUUAAGUCGGGGGUGAAAUCCUGGAGCUCAACUCCAGAACUGCCUUCGAUACUGGCGAUCUCGAGUUCGGGAGAGGUGAGUGGAACUGCGAGUGUAGAGGUGAAAUUCGUAGAUAUUCGCAAGAACACCAGUGGCGAAGGCGGCUCACUGGCCCGAUACUGACGCUGAGGUGCGAAAGCGUGGGGAGCAAACAGG
RNAcentral lists this ribosomal RNA (253 nucleotides) under uncultured bacterium. Its description in RNAcentral is "partial 16S ribosomal RNA". It matches the Rfam family "Bacterial small subunit ribosomal RNA", at positions 524 to 776 of the family's 1533-position model. The record is from RNAcentral.